UGCUGCAUGGCUGUCGUCAGCUCGUGUCGUGAGAUGUUGGGUUAAGUCCCGCAACGAGCGCAACCCUUGCCAUUAGUUGCUACGAAAGGGCACUCUAAUGGGACUGCCGGUGACAAACCGGAGGAAGGUGGGGAUGACGUCAAGUCCUCAUGGCCCUUAUAGGUGGGGCUACACACGUCAUACAAUGGCCGGUACAAAGGGCAGCCAACCCGCGAGGGGGAGCCAAUCCCAUAAAGCCGGUCGUAGUCCGGAUCGCAGUCUGCAACUCGACUGCGUGAAGUCGGAAUCGCUAGUAAUCGUGGAUCAGCAUGUCACGGUGAAUACGUUCCCGGGUCUU
This 337-nucleotide ribosomal RNA is filed under the name uncultured Hydrogenophaga sp. Its description in RNAcentral is "bacterial SSU rRNA". It matches the Rfam family "Bacterial small subunit ribosomal RNA", at positions 1039 to 1382 of the family's 1533-position model. Lineage: Bacteria; Pseudomonadati; Pseudomonadota; Betaproteobacteria; Burkholderiales; Comamonadaceae. The record is from RNAcentral.